GGGAUUGCCUCAGUAACGGCGAGUGAAGCGGCAACAGCUCAAAUUUGAAAUCUGGAGUCUUUCGGCUUCCGAGUUGUAAUUUGAAGAGGAUGUUUCGGUGCGACCUGGGCCUAAGUUCCUUGGAACAGGACGUCAUGGAGGGUGAGAAUCCCGUACAUGGCUGCAGGUUUGCUUCUAUGUGAAACUCCUUCGAAGAGUCGAGUUGUUUGGGAAUGCAGCUCAAAAUGGGUGGUAAAUUUCAUCUAAAGCUAAAUAUUGGCGGGAGACCGAUAGCGCACAAGUAGAGUGAUCGAAAGAUGAAAAGCACUUUGAAAAGAGAGUUAAACAGUACGUGAAAUUGUUGAAAGGGAAGCGCUUGCAAUCAGACUCGCCUUCAGCUGAUCAACCUUCCUUCUGGUUGGUGCACUCUGCUGUUGGCGGGCCAGCAUCAGUUGGGGCGGCGGGAUAAAGGCGGCAGGAAUGUGGCUCGUUUCGGCGAGUGUUAUAGCCUGCUGUGUCAUGCCGCCAGCUCCGACUGAGGUCCGCGGUUCGCCUAGGAUGCUGGCUUAAUGGUUGUAAGCGACCCGUCUUGAAACACGGACCAAGGAGUCUAACAUCUAUGCGAGUCUUUGGGUGUAAAACCCAUGGGCGAAAUGAAAGUGAACGGAGGUGGGAGUCUUCGGAUGCACCAUCGACCGAUCCUGAUGUUCUCGGAUGGAUUUGAGUAUGAGCAUAGCUGUUGGGACCCGAAAGAUGGUGAACUAUGCCUGAAUAGGGUGAAGCCAGAGGAAACUCUGGUGGAGGCUCGCAGCGGUUCUGACGUGCAAAUCGAUCGUCAAAUUUGGGUAUAGGGGCGAAAGACUAAUCGAACCAUCUAGUAGCUGGUCCUGCCAU
RNAcentral lists this ribosomal RNA (873 nucleotides) under Arthrobotrys sp. 3 HM-2018. Its description in RNAcentral is "LSU rRNA". It matches the Rfam family "Eukaryotic large subunit ribosomal RNA", at positions 71 to 963 of the family's 3401-position model. The record is from RNAcentral. Lineage: Eukaryota; Fungi; Ascomycota; Orbiliomycetes; Orbiliales; Orbiliaceae.